AAAAUGGCAGCCCCAACUCGCAACCCACAUAGCAUGAUCGAGUUCAGAGCAUAUACGUGGAACAUGGGAAGCACACAUAAAAUCACAUCUUCGCUAUGAAAAUACAAGUUGGGAUUGUCUCCAUCGACUUGUUGUGCUACACUGGUGACUUGCCCCUUGUGAGUUAACAUCACCCCUUUUGGCAAUCCGGUCGUCCCCGAUGA
RNAcentral lists this unclassified non-coding RNA (203 nucleotides) under Hevea brasiliensis (rubber tree). Lineage: Eukaryota; Viridiplantae; Streptophyta; Magnoliopsida; Malpighiales; Euphorbiaceae. The record is from RNAcentral.